RNAcentral lists this ribosomal RNA (333 nucleotides) under uncultured eukaryote. RNAcentral's name for it is "partial 18S ribosomal RNA". It matches the Rfam family "Eukaryotic small subunit ribosomal RNA", at positions 1470 to 1796 of the family's 1831-position model. The record is from RNAcentral.
CCCUUAGAUGUUCUGGGCUGCACGCGCGCUACACUGAAGCGUUCAACGAGUAUUCACCUUGCCCGGGAGGGUUGGGUAAUCUUUUGAAAACGCUUCGUGAUGGGGAUAGAUUAUUGCAAUUAUUAAUCUUCAACGAGGAAUUCCUAGUAAGCGCGAGUCAUCAGCUCGUGCUGAUUACGUCCCUGCCCUUUGUACACACCGCCCGUCGCUACUACCGAUUGAACGGUUUAGUGAGGGCAUCGGACUGGUCUCGGCCCGCCCUUCACCGGUGCGGCGCCGCCGGCCGGGAAGACGCUCGAACUUGAUCGUUUAGAGGAAGUAAAAGUCGUAACA